RNAcentral lists this ribosomal RNA (497 nucleotides) under uncultured bacterium. Its description in RNAcentral is "partial 16S ribosomal RNA". It matches the Rfam family "Bacterial small subunit ribosomal RNA", at positions 28 to 507 of the family's 1533-position model. The record is from RNAcentral.
GAUGAACGCUGGCGGCGUGCCUAAUACAUGCAAGUCGAGCGAACAGACGAGGAGCUUGCGCCUCUGACGUUAGCGGCGGACGGGUGAGUAACACGUGGAUAACCUACCUAUAAGACUGGGAUAACUUCGGGAAACCGGAGCAAAUACCGGAGAAUAUAUUGAACCGCAGGGUUCAAUAGUGAAAGACGGUUUUGCUGUCACUUAUAGAGGGAUCCGCGCCGCAUGAGCUGGUUGGUAAGUUAACGGCUUACCAAGGCGACGAGGCGUAGCCGACCUGAGAGGGUGAUCGGCCACACUGGAACUGAGACACGGACAAGACUCCUACGGGAGGCAGCAGUAGGGAAUCUUACGCAAUGGGCGAAAGCCUGACGGAGCAACGCCGCGUGAGUGAUGACGGUCUUCGGAUCGUAAAACUCUGUUAUUAGGGAAGAACAAAUGUGUAAGUAACUAUGCACGUCUUGACGGUACCUAAUCAGAAAGCCACGGCUAACUACGUG